AAGGCUAAAUACUCCCUAGUGACCGAUAGUGAACCAGUACCGUGAGGGAAAGGUGAAAAGCACCCCGGAAGGGGAGUGAAAUAGAUCCUGAAACCGUGUGCCUACAACAAGUCAAAGCUCGUUAAUGAGUGAUGGCGUGCCUUUUGUAGAAUGAACCGGCGAGUUACGAUUGCAUGCGAGGUUAAGUCGAAGAGACGGAGCCGCAGCGAAAGCGAGUCUGAAUAGGGCGAAUGAGUAUGUAGUCGUAGACCCGAAACCAUGUGAUCUACCCAUGUCCAGGUUGAAGGUGCGGUAAAACGCACUGGAGGACCGAACCCACGUACGUUGAAAAGUGCGGGGAUGAGGUGUGGGUAGCGGAGAAAUUCCAAACGAACUUGGAGAUAGCUGGUUCUCUCCGAAAUAGCUUUAGGGCUAGCCUCGGAAUUGAGAAUGAUGGAGGUAGAGCACUGUUUGGACUAG
RNAcentral lists this ribosomal RNA (459 nucleotides) under Listeria monocytogenes. RNAcentral describes it as "partial 23S ribosomal RNA". It matches the Rfam family "Bacterial large subunit ribosomal RNA", at positions 462 to 922 of the family's 2925-position model. Lineage: Bacteria; Bacillati; Bacillota; Bacilli; Caryophanales; Listeriaceae. The record is from RNAcentral.